AUUGAACGCUGGCGGCAGGCCUAACACAUGCAAGUCGAACGAGUGGCGGACGGGUGAGUAAUGUCUGGGAAACUGCCUGAUGGAGGGGGAUAACUACUGGAAACGGUAGCUAAUCCCGCAUACCAUCAGAUGUGCCCAGAUGGGAUUGGCUAGUUGGUGGGGUAACGGCUCACCAAGGCGACGAUCCCUAGCUGGUCUGAGAGGAUGACCAUCCACACUGGAACUGAGACAGGGUCCGUACUCCUACGGGAGGCAGCAGUGGGGAAUAUUGCACAAUGGGCGCAAGCCUGAUGCAGCCAUGCCGCGGGUAUGAAGAAGGCCUUCGGGUUGUAAAGUGCUUUCGGCGGGGAGGCGUUACCCGCAGAAGAAGCACCGGCUAACUACGGGCCAGCAGCCGCGGUAAUUC
RNAcentral lists this ribosomal RNA (406 nucleotides) under uncultured bacterium. Its description in RNAcentral is "partial 16S ribosomal RNA". It matches the Rfam family "Bacterial small subunit ribosomal RNA", at positions 30 to 526 of the family's 1533-position model. The record is from RNAcentral.